UGCUCACCUCGCCUAGAGUUCACUGUUGCUCUGUGUUGCCAACGCCCCAUACCUUUUGGUGGCUGAUGAAGACCCUGGGUAUGCUUUUAGAUUACAACUUCUUCAGCUUCGUUAUUGGGUAUGCCCUCCAAAUUACAUUUUCUUGAAGGAAAAAUCGGAGGGAGAGAGAGAGAGAGAGAGAGAGAGGGAGAAAGAGUUCUCUUGGAGUGGGUAUUUCAUAUGU
Long non-coding RNA from Juglans microcarpa x Juglans regia, 223 nucleotides. RefSeq lists it as uncharacterized. The record is from RefSeq and is a predicted model, not a curated record. Lineage: Eukaryota; Viridiplantae; Streptophyta; Magnoliopsida; Fagales; Juglandaceae. The transcript has 2 exons.